RNAcentral lists this ribosomal RNA (253 nucleotides) under uncultured Thiobacillus sp. Its description in RNAcentral is "partial 16S ribosomal RNA". It matches the Rfam family "Bacterial small subunit ribosomal RNA", at positions 524 to 776 of the family's 1533-position model. The record is from RNAcentral. Lineage: Bacteria; Pseudomonadati; Pseudomonadota; Betaproteobacteria; Nitrosomonadales; Thiobacillaceae.
UACGUAGGGUGCGAGCGUUAAUCGGAAUUACUGGGCGUAAAGCGUGCGCAGGCGGAUCGUUAAGCAAGAUGUGAAAUCCCCGGGCUUAACCUGGGAAUGGCAUUUUGAACUGGCAAUCUAGAGUGUGUCAGAGGGGGGUAGAAUUCCACGUGUAGCAGUGAAAUGCGUAGAGAUGUGGAGGAAUACCGAUGGCGAAGGCAGCCCCCUGGGAUAACACUGACGCUCAUGUACGAAAGCGUGGGUAGCAAACAGG